RNAcentral lists this transfer RNA (73 nucleotides) under Clostridiales bacterium. RNAcentral's name for it is "tRNA-Thr". It matches the Rfam family "tRNA". From Rfam's summary of the family: Transfer RNA (tRNA) molecules are approximately 80 nucleotides in length. Their secondary structure includes four short double-helical elements and three loops (D, anti-codon, and T loops). The record is from RNAcentral. Lineage: Bacteria; Bacillati; Bacillota; Clostridia; Eubacteriales.
GCUGGAAUAGCUCAGUCGGUAGAGCACUUCACUCGUAAUGAAGGGGUUGUCGGUUCGAUUCCGAUUUCCAGCU